This 253-nucleotide ribosomal RNA is filed under the name uncultured bacterium. RNAcentral describes it as "partial 16S ribosomal RNA". It matches the Rfam family "Bacterial small subunit ribosomal RNA", at positions 524 to 776 of the family's 1533-position model. The record is from RNAcentral.
UACAGAGGUCUCAAGCGUUGUUCGGAUUCAUUGGGCGUAAAGGGUGCGUAGGUGGCGUCGUAAGUCGGGUGUGAAAUUUCGGAGCUUAACUCCGAAACUGCAUUCGAUACUGCGGUGCUUGAGGACUGGAGAGGAGACUGGAAUUUACGGUGUAGCAGUGAAAUGCGUAGAGAUCGUAAGGAAGACCAGUGGCGAAGGCGGGUCUCUGGACAGUUCCUGACACUGAGGCACGAAGGCCAGGGGAGCAAGCGGG